GACAGAGGGGGCAAGCGUUGCUCGGAAUCACUGGGCGUAAAGGGCGCGUAGGCGGGAUGGCAAGUCGGUCGUGAAAUCCUUCGGCUCAACCGAAGAACGUCGGCCGAUACUGCCGUUCUUGAGGGAUGCAGAGGAGAUUGGAAUUCUCGGUGUAGCGGUGAAAUGCGUAGAUAUCGAGAGGAACACCUGCGGCGAAGGCGGGUUGCUGGGCUGACACUGACGCUGAUGCGCGAAAGCUAGGGGAGCGAACGGG
This 253-nucleotide ribosomal RNA is filed under the name uncultured prokaryote. RNAcentral describes it as "partial 16S ribosomal RNA". It matches the Rfam family "Bacterial small subunit ribosomal RNA", at positions 524 to 776 of the family's 1533-position model. The record is from RNAcentral.